UACGUAGGGUGCAAGCGUUGUCCGGAAUUAUUGGGCGUAAAGAGCUCGUAGGCGGUGUGUCACGUCGGCCGUGAAAACCUGCAGCUUAACUGUGGGCGUGCGGUCGAUACGGGCAUCACUGGAGUUCGGCAGGGGAGACUGGAAUUCCUGGUGUAGCGGUGAAAUGCGCAGAUAUCGGGAAGAACACCCGUGGCGAAGGCGGCUCUCUGGGACGGUACUGACGCUGAGACGCGAAAGCGUGGGGGAGCGAACAGG
RNAcentral lists this ribosomal RNA (255 nucleotides) under uncultured bacterium. RNAcentral describes it as "partial 16S ribosomal RNA". It matches the Rfam family "Bacterial small subunit ribosomal RNA", at positions 524 to 776 of the family's 1533-position model. The record is from RNAcentral.